AUGUUUGGUGGAAAAGCUAGUUGUUCUUUUCUUUGUGGUUGUUAGGAGAUCAAAGCGAUUUGUUUCCUUUCAGGUUGAUUUUAUUUUAUUUUAUAUUAUAUCGUUCUCUCUCGGAUUGUGUGAGUCAUGUUUAAGCUAAUUUUGUGUUGUUUAUUAACGUGUUUUGUGUAGUCUCUAAAAUUAUUCCCGCUCCUGUAGGUUUUGAGCCUAUGUUUAUAUCUUCUUUUUUAGUAAUAAAAUCUUAACAAAAAAGAAUGUUAUCAAAGCAGAAAGCAUCUUAACAAAAAAGAAUGUUAUCAAAGCAGGAAGCAUUGUUUACCUUUUCUAUCCAUCCUCAAUAAUAGUGAUUAUUCCAUUACAAGUUUUUUGGUACGUAUCCUUGCUCUGUUUGAUAAUCAUGCAUUUAUGUGUAUAAUACUAUAAGUAAGCUUGUUGAAUUUUGCAGUUACUUGUCUUGGUCUCUUGCAUUCAUGUGAAACCAGAUGUCGUAUGCCCAUGGAAAAUCACUGAAUAUGACUCUAAGAGCAGGGAAUUUAUUAUAGAGGGGAGGAGAGUAUUAAUGAAACACCACGCUGAAGCUCAAGCCACACAACUCUAAUACAUGGCAUACUGCUACGGUGCUUUCUAUAGCACCAGUAAGUAUAAUUAUUUUUUUCGGUUAAUUUCUCUGUACAAAUGAUUUACUUUUUAACCAUGUUAAAUUUGAUAAAAAAGGUGUUGGGAGGCAAACUCAAUUAUUCUUAACUGUUCAAGAAUAUUUAUAUUUUAUGCUGGACUGAUUUGAUGACACGUUACUACCCUUGUUUCACAAAACUUAUGGCUAUAUGGGUAAGAAAAUUAUCCAUCAGGAUUUAUUUAUUGCGGUUUAAUACAUAUCUAAUUCCUCCUCUUUUUAAGGAAUUCAUUUUGAAAUUUCUCUUUUUCCAUUCGUGCCGAUCUCAAAAGGCUAGAUAACAUUUUUGUGGGUGAUAAAUUUGUGCAUAACAUAUUGCGCACAUGGGAUCAAAAUUGUAUCAAUCUUAAAGGCUGGACAUAAAACAUGACAUGUGUUCUAGUAGUUAACAAAUCACCUGCCAUUCUCAAUUGUUUUACUGUGUGAACUGUGAAGACAUUCAGAAUCUUGAGUUUUGUCAAGCACCCAAUUAAAUUUGGGUAGAGAUUUUAGCUGACUUGAGUAUGCAUCCAACUUACUCAUAUUCAGCAAUCUCGUU
This 1211-nucleotide long non-coding RNA is filed under the name Actinidia chinensis (golden kiwifruit). RNAcentral's name for it is "long non-coding RNA (ACHI_LNC006112)". Lineage: Eukaryota; Viridiplantae; Streptophyta; Magnoliopsida; Ericales; Actinidiaceae. The record is from RNAcentral.